UACGUAGGGUGCGAGCGUUGUCCGGAAUCAUUGGGCGUAAAGGGCUCGUAGGCGGUCCAUCGCGUCGGGAGUGAAACGCUGGGGCUUAACCCCAGUCCUGCUUUCGAUACGGGUGGACUAGAGGUAGGCAGGGGAGAAUGGAAUUUCCGGUGGAGCGGUGAAAUGCAUUGAGAUCGGAAAGAACACCAACGGCGAAAGCACUCUGCUGGGCCGACACUGACACUGAGAGACGAAAGCUAGGGGAGCAAAUGGG
Molecule: ribosomal RNA, 253 nt
Filed under: uncultured bacterium
Lineage: Bacteria
Description: partial 16S ribosomal RNA
Rfam family: Bacterial small subunit ribosomal RNA
Source: RNAcentral